Molecule: ribosomal RNA, 820 nt
Filed under: Lembosina aulographoides
Lineage: Eukaryota; Fungi; Ascomycota; Dothideomycetes; Asterinales; Asterinaceae
Description: partial large subunit ribosomal RNA
Rfam family: Eukaryotic large subunit ribosomal RNA
Source: RNAcentral
CAAUAAGCGGAGGAAAAGAAACCAACCGGGAUUGCCUCAGUAACGGCGAGUGAAGCGGCAAAAGCUCAAUUUUGAAAUCUGGCGCGUCUGGCGUCCGAGUUGUAAUUUGAAGAGGAAGGUCCCGCGAGGGCGCCGGUCUAUGUUCCUUGGAACAGGUCAUCAGAGAGGGUGAGAAUCCCGUAUGUGACCGGAGGGCCUUUGCAAGUGGAGUUGCCUCGUCGAGUCGAGUUGUUUGGGAAUGCAGCUCAAAGUGGGAGGUAAAUUUCUUCCAAAGCUAAAUACGGGCCAGAGACCGAUAGCGCACAAGUAGAGUGAUCGAAAGAUGAAAAGCACUCCGGCAGGGGGGUUAAACAGCACGUGAAAUUGUUGAAAGGGAAGCGCUUGCAACCAGACGUGCGGCGGUGGCAUGUGCCUAGCUGCAGGGCAGCGGCGGUUUGGGCGGUCGGAGAAAGACCUGGGGAAUGUGGCUCCUUCGGGAGUGUUAUAGCCUCGGGUGGAAUGCGAUCUGCCGGGACCGGCGCUGGCGUAAUGGUUGUAAGCGGCCCGUCUUGAAACACGGACCAAGGAGUCUAACAUCUAUGCGAGUCUUUGGGUGUCAAACCCACAGGCGCAAUGAAAGUGAACGGAGGUGGGAACCCUUCGGGGUGCACCAUCGACCGAUCCUGAAGUCUUCGGAUGGAUUUGAGUAUGAGCAUAGCUGUUGGGACCCGAAAGAUGGUGAACUUUGCUUGGAUAGGUUGAAGCCAGAGGAAACUCUGGUGGAGGACCGAUCGGGGUUCUGACGUGCAAAUCGAUCUCCAAAUUUGAGCAUAGGGGCGAA